Molecule: long non-coding RNA, 623 nt
Filed under: Sinocyclocheilus anshuiensis
Lineage: Eukaryota; Metazoa; Chordata; Actinopteri; Cypriniformes; Cyprinidae
Description: lncRNA (ENSSANG00000045995.1)
Source: RNAcentral
CCCCCUAGUUAUUUUUCAGCAAAUCCCGGAAGUAUUGUUUUUAAAGGGACAGAAUAAUUUCAUGGGCGAGGGCUUUGGACCAAGAGCCAGGCAGAAAAUAGCAAAGGCCCGUUGGCAGAGUUGCCUAUAGGACGUGGAAAGGAGAAGAAAGACAAUCAAACAGCUUUGUCGACAUUUGGAAAGCAGGAUCUUGUAUCCUCAUCGGUCAGAUAUAUCUUCGUUACACUGUGGGAUUUCAACGCAGAUAGUUUGACGUCGAUUACACUGAAGAUCUGGAGAUCCUGUCUGCUGUCUAAAAUAGGAUCAAACUCUUCCUCCAGAUAUGAAGGGAAUGUUAGUUUCCUGACUGCUGCAGCCCUUGUUAUUGUCAUCGUUAUAUGUUUGCUGUGGGGGAGGAACAGAAAGAAAGGCCUGCACUCCCUAAUUCCAUGCAAGUAACCCUUCAACUCAUCACAGUCUUGAAGCAACAACAAGCACGACUUAAGAGCUCCGACAGAGAGGACGGAGAAACAGACGAGGAGGAAAGGGCAGGAGUUCUUAGAGAGGUUGUGUCUCUGGAAUGCCUGGCUCAGGAUGCAGCCGCUGAGCAGUCCACUCCUUUCAGGAGCCAAGGGGAGGUGUGA